CCUACGGGCGGCAGCAGUGGGGAAUAUUGGACAAUGGGCGAAAGCCUGAUCCAGCCAUGCCGCGUGUGUGAAGAAGGCCUUCGGGUUGUAAAGCACUUUCAGUGGGGAAGAAAGCCUUGGGGCUAAUACCCUCGAGGAAGGACAUCACCCACAGAAGAAGCACCGGCUAACUCCGUGCCAGCGGCCGCGGUAAUACGGAGGGGGCGAGCAUUAAUCGGAAUUACUGGGCGUAAAGCGCGCGUAGGCGGUCUGAUAAGCCGGUUGUGAAAGCCCCGGGCUCAACCUGGGAACGGCAUCCGGAACUGUCAGGCUAGAGUGCAGGAGAGGAAGGUAGAAUUCCCGGUGUAGCGGUGAAAUGCGUAGAGAUCGGGAGGAAUACCAGUGGCGAAGGCGGCCUUCUGGACUGACACUGACGCUGAGGUGUGAAAGCGUGGGUAGCAAACAGGAUUAGAUACCCCAGUAGUC
This 465-nucleotide ribosomal RNA is filed under the name Vreelandella stevensii. Its description in RNAcentral is "partial 16S ribosomal RNA". It matches the Rfam family "Bacterial small subunit ribosomal RNA", at positions 338 to 795 of the family's 1533-position model. The record is from RNAcentral. Lineage: Bacteria; Pseudomonadati; Pseudomonadota; Gammaproteobacteria; Oceanospirillales; Halomonadaceae.